This is a long non-coding RNA of Zophobas morio, 799 nucleotides long. RefSeq lists it as uncharacterized. The record is from RefSeq and is a predicted model, not a curated record. NCBI's taxonomy places the organism in Eukaryota, Metazoa, Arthropoda, Insecta, Coleoptera, Tenebrionidae. The transcript is spliced from 4 exons.
UGUAACGUCAUGUGUUUACACUGCACACACUAAAAUUUAAAAUUUUUCCCAACAUGCAUGUAGAUCGAUUGUGCUUCGGGACUCAAGGUUGAUCAUCACGCGUCCGUCAGAUGUAGAAUUGAAACGGCUAACAUAAGCGUCAAGUCUACAUGAUGUUCACUACAGGGUGUUUUCUGCGGAGGUCAGGUCGUCUAGGGCUUCAGGGAUGGGAGAUCUUAUCAGGUGCAAAAAGAUAGGUGGCAUGAAUCAACCUGAAGCUGAAGGAUUAGUGCUGGAGACUGAACUUACCUAAACUGUGGAAGCUGUGGCAUCCCGCCGCCCCGGAAAAAGGUGGGGAGAAAAAAGGGCGACGAGGUGGGGUGAAUAGGGUAGGGGUGCUAUGACAUGCAUAUAAGCGCGAAACAAACCCACGAUCUUUAGUUUUAAUGUUGACGUCAGAAGGUUAACAUACCAGACUCUUUCAUCACCAUAAAACUAUAGUUCUCCGCCAUGGACCUACCAAGAACCUCCACACCCAUGCCCUGCCGAUGCAUGGUCAGGAUUUCGGCGCGAUGUGGCCCGAAUUGCGCGUGUUGCAAAGAGUACCGAAGAUUUAUGGAAAACCACCGGGAGCCCAGGAAUUUACGGAAGGUGUACCGAGUCAAGGGGGUUGAAAAGGCGGCCUGCUGUGACAUCGUGGCUGGACAUGUCCUUUUCAAGUGCUCGCGGAAAUUCCUGAGCAUGAAGGACUUCUUGGAAAAGCUGCGACGGAAGUUUUGGAGGAAGAACAAAACGUUGCGGAUGUCGAGGGAUAUAGUUG